Molecule: ribosomal RNA, 546 nt
Filed under: Lactiplantibacillus plantarum
Lineage: Bacteria; Bacillati; Bacillota; Bacilli; Lactobacillales; Lactobacillaceae
Description: bacterial SSU rRNA
Rfam family: Bacterial small subunit ribosomal RNA
Source: RNAcentral
AACAGGAUUAGAUACCCGGGUAAGUCCAUACCCGUAAACGAUGAAAUGCUAAGUGGUUGGAGGGUUUUCCGCCCUUCAGUGCUGCAGCUAAACGCAUUAAGCAUUCCGCCUGGGGAGUACGGCCGCAAGGCUGAAACUCAAAGGAAUUGACGGGGGCCCGCACAAGCGGUGGAGCAUGUGGUUUAAUUCGAAGCUACGCGAAGAACCUUACCAGGUCUUGACAUACUAUGCAAAUCUAAGAGAUUAGACGUUCCCUUCGGGGACAUGGAUACAGGUGGUGCAUGGUUGUCGUCAGCUCGUGUCGUGAGAUGUUGGGUUAAGUCCCGCAACGAGCGCAACCCUUAUUAUCAGUUGCCAGCAUUAAGUUGGGCACUCUGGUGAGACUGCCGGUGACAAACCGGAGGAAGGUGGGGAUGACGUCAAAUCAUCAUGCCCCUUAUGACCUGGGCUACACACGUGCUACAAUGGAUGGUACAACGAGUUGCGAACUCGCGAGAGUAAGCUAAUCUCUUAAAGCCAUUCUCAGUUCGGAUUGUAGGCUGCAAC